Molecule: ribosomal RNA, 254 nt
Filed under: uncultured bacterium
Lineage: Bacteria
Description: partial 16S ribosomal RNA
Rfam family: Bacterial small subunit ribosomal RNA
Source: RNAcentral
UACAGAGGGCGCGAGCGUUGUCCGGAAUCACUGGGCGUAAAGGGCGCGUAGGUGGCCACCAUAAGGCCGCGGUGAAAGUUCGGGGCUCAACCCCGGAUCGGCCGCGGCGACUGUGGGGCUCGGGUACUGUAGAGGCAGAUGGAAUUCCGGGUGUAGCGGUGGAAUGCGUAGAGAUCCGGAAGAACACCAGUGGCGAAAGCGGCCACCUGGACUGCACCUGACGCUGACACGCGAAAGCUAGGGGAGCGAACGGG